This 565-nucleotide small RNA is filed under the name Vigna angularis var. angularis. RNAcentral describes it as "Non-protein coding transcript". The record is from RNAcentral. Lineage: Eukaryota; Viridiplantae; Streptophyta; Magnoliopsida; Fabales; Fabaceae.
UUUACCUCUUCUUCCUUCACUCGAAUUCAUAAACUCACUUUUGUCUUAAUUAUCUCGUGGUCAUAUCUCUCAUCCUACUCACCCAAAUUAAGUGAUUCUUGAGCCUAAAUGGAAGUCCAGAAUGUGAACUUUCACCUCGUUUCAGAAUCACUUCAAUUAAAGUUAUAUAGCUCGAGAUAUCGAUAUUUCUAAAAUACUGUUCAACUCACCUUCUCAAUUUUUCAAAUUUCCUUCAAGGUUCUAACCCUAUCCCUAAAUAUCCUAAGUAGUCCUUGUACAAAUGGAGUUCACAUUAGAGAGGGGGAGAGGUAGAGAGAGAGAUAUAUUAGACAAUUUUUCUAAAUAUCAAUUCGUUCUAUAAGAUGAAAUUUGUGUUCAUAUUGAUAAUUGCUUGUAGAAACUUGGCUUCUCUUAGAACCUAUUAGAAAGUGAAGCAUUUCUUCAUCUCCUCUCCAUUUUUGUACAAAUCACGGCCUUUUCCUCCAUGGAAAUCAAUUAUCCAGUUCGUCCACAAGAAGGAACUACAUCAACCAUCUUAUCAUGGUCAACCAGUUGAAAAAAGUUG